GGAAUCCGGUGCGAGUUCGGAACUGCCGCGCAGUGGUGAGGGUGAUCAGCGGAACAACGCGCCACAGGACCGAGCGGCCUGGGAAGGCGUUCCGCAUGGUACCGGCUUCGCGGGCUUGGUCGUUCCGCACCUCAUCCGGAUGGCGGUCAGUCCGGCGAC
This 159-nucleotide non-coding RNA is filed under the name Actinokineospora spheciospongiae. The record is from RNAcentral. Lineage: Bacteria; Bacillati; Actinomycetota; Actinomycetes; Pseudonocardiales; Pseudonocardiaceae.